GGGGGAUAUUGCACAAUGGACGAAAGUCUGAUGGAGCAACGCCGCGUGAGCGAUGAAGGCCUUCGGGUCGUAAAGCUCUGUUGUUAGGGAAGAACAAGUAUCGGAGUAACUGCCGGUACCUUGACGGUACCUAACCAGAAAGCCACGGCUAACUACGUGCCAGCAGCCGCGGUAAUACGUAGGUGGCAAGCGUUGUCCGGAAUUAUUGGGCGUAAAGCGCGCGCAGGCGGUCCUUUAAGUCUGAUGUGAAAGCCCACGGCUCAACCGUGGAGGGUCAUUGGAAACUGGGGGACUUGAGUGCAGAAGAGGAAAGCGGAAUUCCACGUGUAGCGGUGAAAUGCGUAGAGAUGUGGAGGAACACCAGUGGCGAAGGCGGCUUUCUGGUCUGUAACUGACGCUGAGGUGCGAAAGCGUGGGGAGCAAAC
This 425-nucleotide ribosomal RNA is filed under the name uncultured bacterium. Its description in RNAcentral is "bacterial SSU rRNA". It matches the Rfam family "Bacterial small subunit ribosomal RNA", at positions 356 to 773 of the family's 1533-position model. The record is from RNAcentral.